RNAcentral lists this long non-coding RNA (1656 nucleotides) under Homo sapiens (human). RNAcentral describes it as "non-protein coding HAS2-AS1:11". The record is from RNAcentral. Lineage: Eukaryota; Metazoa; Chordata; Mammalia; Primates; Hominidae.
AAUUGCUCCUGAGACCCAACAGGCAGCAACGGUCCCAAGGGUGAGGGAGUGGGCAGGGAGAGGCUGAUGGGGCUUCUACACGUUCCCUCCCGUAGCUGGGCUGCUGCAGCUCGUUCGCCCCAGAGGCGCGCGGUGUCCUUGAGUCCAAGUAUUCAGCGCGGACGUUUGGGGGACGGAGGGAGAGGCGCUAGGGGAACUGGCACCUAAGACUGUGUAAUAGGACACAGGUCUUGCAAGUCCUCCUCCCCAGGCACCGCCCCUGUGCUCCCAGCGCCUCUUUGCAGCUUUAAUUAUCCUUUCAGCGCCGUUCCCCCGCGGCUGCGUUUCCGUGGUCAGAGGAAAAAGGCUCUUUCGCCUCCCGGUUCUCACCCUCAUACAGACCCUCCUUUCAGACCCGCCCUCCUGUUCACAGGGACCCAUUUCGGAGCCCUGGCUCACGCUGGGCGGGAACUGCCGUGACGAAUUCCCCCCAAGGUGUUGAUUAUCCAUCCCAACCCAGCCUCUGGCUUCCCUCCCACCUCCACCCCAGCUCCCACAGGCCCCUCGCCCCGUUCAUCGGCUGGGCGCUCGAGACGGCGCCCCCAGAUCUCCCACCGGGCAGUGUCCCCAGCUGCAGCUGAGGAGAGAAGCGCCGGCGUGCGCGGUGCCACGUCGGAAUUGGCUCUGGGGACGCCGCAGCUGCCGAAGCGCAGCGCGCGGUCCCCACGCACGCCCUGCCUCCGGGCGGCCGGCGGGCUGGCCCGGCGAGGAGAGGAGGGAUGCGCGCCCUCCUCCCGCUCCUAUCUGCGGGUGCCACCGCCUGCGUCAGGGACCCCUGGCCCGAUCUUUCUGCCCCCGAUAACAGAAAAUCUCUUUUUCGUCUUAAAAAAAAAAAAAAAAAAAAAAAAAGCCUGUGGAAGACUCAGCAGAACCCAGGAAGCGCAGAAUUGGGAGAAAAGUCUUUGGCUGGGGCUGUUUCAAGUCUCUGGUUCAAUGGGCUGCUCGAAGCCAGGACUGGGUAAUUCUUUCCAGACGUCUUGACUUCUCCUUCCCCGCCGUUGUUGCCCUUCUGCCUCCUCCAACUUAAGGGGGUCUUAACAAGAUCUUCUGAGGGGUGGACUUCUUUGGAACUCGACAGGACCUUGAAGACUGGGUUCUUAGUCCUUAUCACAUAUAUGGGCUAUAAUGAAUAAGUCUAAACAGAAAAGUCGAAUAAACUGGAAAUGAUGCUUUCAUCACGUCGCACAAGGAGCUGUUUGGAUCAGAAGAUGACAUCCUUUCACCCAUCCCUUUCAGGUUUUGACAUCCUAAAAUGUACCUUAUGGAACCCAUACCUGUUAUGUUUUCACCUGUACAAGGCAACAGAGAAAACAUGGUAGUUUUUACUUGAGUAGAUGUGACUUAGCAAUAUGUUGUUGCUGACCUCCAUCCCACAGCACAAAACAUAUGUUUAUAUGUCUGACAGACAAAGUAUCCAGAACAAGGAUUUAGUACCUUCAUAAUCCUCUGUAUAUGUGGUUCUAGAACUUUUGGUAAAGAAACUCUUUAUACUCUUAUUAAUUAUUGAGAACCUCAAAAAAAGUUUAUAUGUUAUAUGUAUCAAUAUUUACCACAUUAGACAUUAAAGCUGACUUAAAAAGUUAAAAUACUUAAGUCAUUUGAAGUAAUAAUAAAUGC